RNAcentral lists this unclassified non-coding RNA (292 nucleotides) under Cystostereaceae sp. RNAcentral describes it as "partial contains 5.8S ribosomal RNA, internal transcribed spacer 2, and large subunit ribosomal RNA". The record is from RNAcentral. Lineage: Eukaryota; Fungi; Basidiomycota; Agaricomycetes; Agaricales; Cystostereaceae.
CGCACCUUGCGCUCCUUGGUAUUCCGAGGAGCAUGCCUGUUUGAGUGUCAUUAAAUUCUCAACCUUUCCAUUUUGUAAUGAAGUGCUUGAAAGGCUUGGAUUGUGGAGGUUGCAGGCUUGUACAAAGUCAGCUCCUUUGAAAUGCAUGAGUGGAGAUUUGUAGACUUCACCCUUGGUGUGAUAAUUAUCUACGCCUUGGUUGUCUACAGUGUGCUCUGCUGUCUAAUCGUCUGCAAAGACAAUACCAUCCAAUUUUGACCUCAAAUCAGGUAGGACUACCCGCUGAACUUAA